GAAAGGUUGCAUAUGCAAAAACCUCUUCUAAUUAUGCACCAUGCCUGCACCACUUGUUUUGCAAAACCUAUCCACCAGGGGGUGUGAAUGGAACUAUUUUGUCAGUCAAAAAAGGGCUUCAGGAGCAGCGUUUCAAAAUCAAAAAGUAAGCACAUACUGCCAUCUAUUAUCAACAUGCAAAACUGCAUUACAAAUUUUAUUUUCAAUAAGUUCGCUCUACACAUUUAGUACAACAGCAGUCUGUGUGGACUGAACUGUGGAUCACUUUUCACUGAAUAUUAGAAA
Long non-coding RNA from Neoarius graeffei (lesser salmon catfish), 285 nucleotides. RefSeq lists it as uncharacterized. The transcript has 3 exons. The record is from RefSeq and is a predicted model, not a curated record. Lineage: Eukaryota; Metazoa; Chordata; Actinopteri; Siluriformes; Ariidae.